This 433-nucleotide ribosomal RNA is filed under the name uncultured bacterium. RNAcentral's name for it is "partial 16S ribosomal RNA". It matches the Rfam family "Bacterial small subunit ribosomal RNA", at positions 29 to 507 of the family's 1533-position model. The record is from RNAcentral.
AACGAACGCUGGCGGCAUGCCUAACACAUGCAAGUCGAACGAGACCUUCGGGUCUAGUGGCGCACGGGUGCGUAACGCGUGGGAACCUGCCCUUAGGUUCGGAAUAACUCCCCGAAAGGGGUGCUAAUACCGGAUAAUGUCUUCGGACCAAAGUUUUAUCGCCUUUGGAUGGGCCCGCGUUGGAUUAGCUAGUUGGUAGGGUAAAAGCCUACCAAGGCGACGAUUCAUAGCUGGUCUGAGAGGAUGAUCAGCCACACUGGGACUGAGACACGGCCCAGACUCCUACGGGAGGCAGCAGUGGGGAAUAUUGGACGAUGGACGAAAGCCUGAUCCAGCAAUGCCGCGUGAGUGAUGAAGGCCUUAGGGUUGUAAAGCUCUUUUACCCGGGAUGAUAAUGACAGUACCGGGAGAAUAAGCUCCGGCUAACUCCGUG